Non-coding RNA from Microcebus murinus (gray mouse lemur), 7781 nucleotides. Lineage: Eukaryota; Metazoa; Chordata; Mammalia; Primates; Cheirogaleidae. The record is from RefSeq and is a predicted model, not a curated record.
GUGGGCACGGACCUCUGCUCUGGCCAGAGGUGCCGGUUGAGGGCCGGAGCAUAGUGGUGGCCAGCGGCCACGCACCUUUCCCCUUACUAGCAGGUCACAGGGAAACGCUGGCACAGUCUCAUGGUGUAGAGGACUGUGACACUUUCUGCCUUGGUCUUCCUGGCUUUUCUUUGCUUUGUAAGAUAGCAUCCUCGUAUUCCCAUUUGACCGCAGCAUCCUGUUCCGAAAGAGUCUGUCGUCAACCAGCUUGCCCGCGGAUCCCGGGACUAGAUGUGUGGAACACAGCAGCGCAGUGUUUGCGCCUCCCGUCCUCACACUCCUGUCCUCACACUCCUGGUGGCAUGUUGGAGUGGUGGUGGCUAUCAGGGUGCUCAUCGGGACACAGGGCUUACAGGGUGAGCAAGCGGGAACGAAGAAGGGUGGUAGAUGGAGUCCUCUACACAGAUGGGCUCCCCUUUUCUCCAAGAGCCCCAGCAGGGGUUUUGUUGGAGAACAAGUUCAUUUCUGUUCCUUCGGUUCUCCAGCUCUUUUUGGGCUUCUGGAAAAGUUCUGUUUGCAAGUCUCCUCAUCUUUCAAAACAGGUUUCAUUUUGGACUUUUACUUUGAAGGGGUGGUCCUGGGUUCCUUAGAUUUGGUUGGUGAAUCUUGGUUCCUCCUUUCAACACUUUUGUCACUGGGAUUGGCUGUACCCUCCCCAGAGUCCUGCCUAGGCUCUGCCCUUGCUCAGGUUUCUGUACUUCUUUGAACUUGUUAUUUUUCUCUCUUAGUCUGUGAAGUCUCUUUUUAGGUAAGUAAUGAGAAUCUGUGUAUAGCAUUAGAGCUGCAAAGAGAUGUCUUUGUAAUUUUUUCCUUUUUUCCUUUUUUUUUUUUUUUUUUUUUGUAUCAAAGUAAAGCAAACCUUCUAAGAAAGGCUGAAGAUUAGGAAUUCCAUUCAUUCUAAUCAUUGAAUUUGAUACAAAGCCAAAAUUGGUUAUAAGCCAGAAAAGAGUGUCGAAACCUUAGUGUGCGAGUUUUGGCGGUGCCUGCUGGGCCUGUCGCGUGUGACCUCUAGUGGAGGCACCCCCUGCCUCGCGUGUGGUGGCUCUCUUGUUCCUACAGAGCUUUGGUGGCCUCACCCCAUUGAUUAAAGCUCUGUGUGUCCCUGCGGGCCAUGGGUCCAGUUCUCCUGCGGCCAGUUAGCUACGGCUAGUGGUCCGCCUCAGACUGCACCCCUCACCCCGCCUGCUGCCUGGCCCUUCACACCCUUAGCCCCGUGAGGGUGGGGUCAGUGAACUCAAAGGACAGCAUCCCCAGGAGCAUGACCCUCCGGCAGUCAUUUUAGUAGUGUCAUCCCCAGCUGAGUACGGAAUUGGCUUUCAGGGCCAAAUAAUGGUGCAGGGAGGGCUCACAGCACGGAGCCGCUUGGCUUCCCCACCGCCCACUGGCAUUUCCGAUUUCCUGCUGGUACAUACAGAGAUGGCAGGAGCCCAACUCGCGUCAAUGCCUUACUUUAUGGGCUUGUUAGGUGUUUGUAGCCGGGAAGCCUUGAGGGAAGGGUGGGCAUUCCCUGGGACACACUGCCAUCCUUUGAGGAAGUGCUCAGUGGUGUUGAAGGCACUGUCUACUCUUCUAAAAAUCCAGCAGCAAGACUUGGCAGCAUGGAUCGAUCCCCUGUUCCUGGAAAAUUAGAUGACAGUUCCAGAAUUUCUCAGAAAACGGGAUGAUUUACAAUGGGUUCCAGUCUUGAGCAAUCUGCAAUUAUAGUAAUUAGAUAAAUCUCCAGGGUUUUAUAGAGAAAAUUUCUUCUUAAAAUCUUCAACAUACAAAUAAUUUUCUAAUUCUAGCUGUUCCCACAUAGCUGUGGCUUGGAUUAGAUGGUUUGUCAAUGAGUCACUGAUACGUGGUUUUUUUGACGUACGUAGAAGCAUGGAAUUGUUGUCACACGUAAUCAUCUUGCCUUCAGCAGCAGGCAUGGAGGCAGCAACCUGAGCGGGGGUCACGGGUCUGGCAAGAUGAGAAUAUCAGGGCAGAAGAGGCCAUUUCGCCCACUGAGCACCAGAGAUGUGUUUGUGUCUGUGAGGUAUGUGCAUGUUUAAUGUCGGUGGCACCGAAGAGAACAAGUUAUUGUCCAGAUGGUGAAGAUCUUCUCCUCAGAGCUACUAUAAUAAAACAUUUAAUUUGUAUCCUACAAUUUUGUGCUUAUUGAAUUACUUUGAUCCUAAAAUGCCAUAUGUCAAUUUUAACGACAGCUUUUCAGUCCAAAUAAAGAAAAAGAUGCUUAUGUAUAGUCCCCAAAUGUGCAUUGACGGUGCAGUGUUUGCAUUUUUAAAACGUUAACAUGGGUGUGUGUGUCUUAGAAUCAUUGAAAAUGACAAAUAAGUAAAUAGAAACAUAAACACGCAAAUGAGUUUGCAUUCUAUUCUGAAUGCUUCUCUUUUUAAUGCCUAGGUCUUGUCUUCUCAGACAGCAUCUUCAUCUUAAGUACAGGCUUGAAGUCUUAGAUUUCUUCUGAGUAAAAUCAUACUUUCUAUGUCUUAUUUUUAUUCUGUGUCUGAUACUGUGGCAAGCACUCUGCAUGUGUUAUUUUCUCUAUUUUUUUCCCCAAGGAAAUCAAGGCUUGCAGAUACUGGUUCCUUGCCCAGGGUCAUGCAGCUUGUGUGCGUUAAAUCACAGAUCAGGCUUGUGGGGUGGAGCCCAAAGCCUGUGCCCUGAGCUGCUCUGCCAGCCGUUUGCUCCUUGGCAUUAUGUGCUUGCCUGGCAGGUGUGUAGUGCCUCUUCAGUUGUAAGGUCUGAAAGUUUAUGAUGUACCUACAAAGACUAAAACUUACCUGCUGGUGUGUUGUUAUUACAUUGUCAGGUGGGCAGCAGGUGGAUAGCAGGUGGGCAGCAGGUGGACAGGUAGGCAGCAGGUAGGGCGGCAGGCAGGCAGGUGGCAGCAGCAGGCAUGACUUCGUGUACAGGUGUAGCUUCUUGCAGGGGUGUUUCCCCGCCACACAUGAUGGUACCUUGGGUACUCAGAGUUGGAAAGGCAUCAUGGUAUACCUGGUUGGAGCAUGAAUCCUUGAGUCAACUGUGUUUCCCUUGUUUUAUGUCACUGAUUACCAGAGGGAAGGGAACUCAUUACCCCCAGAGACAGCCUACUUACUUGCCAUCAAUGAAAAUGAGCCUGCCUGUAACAUCAAGUGCUCCCUCUGGCCUUCUCGGUAACACGGAGCAAGUCGAUUCUCUCGCCCUGUGUAUGAAGUUAUGUGUCAUGUAUCACUCGGCCCCCAGCUCCUUGAGGCAUCCUUCCUUUGUUGGGAUUGGUGGCAUCUUCCCCUGUUCCCAUCCUCCUGUUUUGCCUACCCCUAUUCAAGGCAGAUGACCAGAACUGCUCCACACUCCAGGUGGGGCUGACCGCAUCAGAGCUGGGAUGGCUAUCCUGUUCUUCUUUUAGGGCACCAUACUCCCAUAUAUCAUUUUUACUCAAGAUUGGCCUUUCUGAGGACAGGUGUCUCCCCACAUCCCUACCCCUAGGUGACCUGGGCAACCGUGUUUACUUCUAGCCCAUGAUAAGUCCAGAAAUGGAGAAAAUGUGGUUAGAAACUUUCAUAGCAAUUUGAGUGUUGAAUUUAAUAGUAACAGUGUGGGUGUGUAUCUUAUCUUUGUCUUGUUUAUUUCAUUUUCUAGUAAUUUGUUUCUGUCCUGCUUAGGAAGCAUUUAGAAUUGGCAGAUUGAUAAUAGUAACAGCAGGAAAAACUCCUUCCCCACAGGUGGGUUGAGAAGUGCUAGUCUGGACUGUCUCGAGAUUUCAGUCGUGCUUGUGGUUUUUCUGUCUGUGGCAACUGGUGUUUGGAACUGAAGUUCAAGCUUUGCCUUUAUGGCCCAUCAUGGCCUUGGCGUGUCCUUCCUGUGUGGUGAGAUUUCACAAGGCGCUGUUGGGACUUCCGAGCCCACUGCCUCUGGCCAGUGGAGGGUCGUGUAGGGACAACCUCUACCCACUCCCGCUGUGUCCUCCGCUCUUCCCGAGAGACCAGUGUGACGCCCGCUGUCCUUGUGCAGAUCGUCCUUGCCUGGCUGCUCACCACUGCCCUGGGGUGUGGGGGUUGCGGGGUUCCAUGUGGGGAGUCCCCCUGUGGCUGUCAUUGUGACCCACCUCCCACCUUCCUGUAUCUGUUAAUCUUGAGCAGGUUUUCUAGUCCCGGCUCAGCUCCACCAAGAGCCAGCACCCUUUGUGGGAGGCCACAUGGCCAGUAGGAAGUGAGCCAGACCAGGGGCCAGGCUGGCUUGGGUUCCAGUCCCAGUGCUUCCGCUGGGUGUGUGAGACUUCUAGCACUUAAGCUGGUACUUUUAUGAAAUGAGAGCCCCAAGGGCUAGAUGAGUGGGCCUUAGGAAUUCCCACCCGACCCAGGGCACCAGGGACCAGAGCGUGAGACCCUGGCAGGGGCAGUCUGAGCAUGGCCUUUGCUGUUGGAAUCCAAGGGGCUGGGUCCCUGAAGGUGCCUCCCUCCUCUUCCUUUGCCCCCAAAGUGGUUCAUGAGGCAGUGAGGGGCUGGCCGAGGAGUUUCCCCUCAUUCCAGACCUCACUUGAAACCCAGCUUAGUUUUGAGAUGGGACCAAACUGCAUGAGUACAUUUCAUUUUGUUCUUUGGGCAAUGAGGAAAUGACUGUCACUUUCUUAGUGAUUGUUCAUUCUGGGAAAACAAAAGUGUUUAAAACGCAGCCUGGGCUUAAAGAAAGUGUAAGGAUAGUAGAGGGAAGAAGAAGGUUCACUACCCCACUGAGCAGUGUGGUUGGGCUUGGAGCCCAGAGUCUCCAGCAGGCCCUGCUGUUUCAUGACAGCUGGUGGGACAGACUCGACCUUCCGCCUGAGGCUCCAGAGAUGGAGUUCGAGGCCUUUGCUAACAAGGAAAUCAUUGCUUCACUGAAACCUUUCCCUCCUUUCAGAGAGGAAAAAGCACUAUUUGUUGUUGUUAAAUAUCUUUGCAAGUCAUACUUUGCUUUACUUACCUCUUCAUAACUUUGCUAAAAGUAAAGUAAAUUUUAUAUAAAUGUGGUUUCAAUUGGUCUUUGGGCUCAAGUUCUUGUCAUUUGCAAGAUGCUUAUAUGUAUUUUUCACCUUCACAAGGAGAGAAUGUGGCCUUUCUAGCUUCUGCAGCGUGAGGCCAAGUGACAGUCCACCUGACCGCCAAGACGCUUCUGCAUUCCCAGGGCAGGGAGCGAAGCAGCACGGAUCUGCUGGGCGAAGAGAGGGUUCCCGCCUGGGUGGGAUGGGGUGGGUCCGUGCAGGGUUUCAUCACGCUGUUCGGGAGGGCAAACAUUUUAAACCUGAGCUGUUUUUUUUCGGGAAUUGUCUGUUUCAUAUUUUCAGACCACAGUUGACUGUGGGUAACUGAAACCGUGCAAAAAGCAAAACCUUGGAUGAGGGAGCACUGCUGUAUUCUCCAAGCAAGUUUAAAGCAGGUUCAUGGCUGGGCGCUUUCACCGUGUUAUAAUGAUUUGAACAUGGCAAGUAACACACAUGGUACUCGUGUCAGUGGUUUAUGAACCUUUCAGUGAAGCAGGAUAUUUCUUUCCUUUCUGGAUCCUGGAUGAAGAGGGCGUUUAUUACGGCAGUUUCCCUUGCUGGAAUGGGUGCUGUGAAACUUCUGUGUUCCCUCCGUCGCAGGAGAGAAAAUCUGUCGGAUGCUUAUUGUAAGUGCUCGACAGAGAGAAAUGAAAUGGUUUAAACAAGCAGUAAAUACAUUGACAAAAAUUUGGGCAAUUACGAUCGUUUCUUUAAGGGACAAAGGAACUUUGAAAUUAUUCCUUUUACUAAAUGCAUACAGAGUAAUUUAAACAUGAUCUUUACUUAAAUUUCUAUUUUCAGUGUCUGGUCUUUAAGGCUGUAACCAUGUUUGAGCUCUGUUUUAUUACUCACGCUGAAUUUGUGAGGGCGUGCGAGAAUCCUGCGCUCUCGUGGUUAUUCUUCUCUCUGGGCAUGUGGUGCCUUCUUUGCUGGCCUCCCCGUCUGGGAUGUGCUGUGCCCUCUGCUCUGUGCUCAUUCGGCACCUGGUGUCCGAUGGGCCCCAUCACCUGCUCUGGCUGCCACCAGUUAUGAACCUCGGCACGAGGGACUACUUAAGCCUCACAAUCUUGUCUUUGUCAGGCAGCAAAUACUCUCACUUUGGCAGUUUCCUCAAAACACUAACUGUUUAUGUGUGUAUAAGGCAGACCCUGAGAAAGGGACGCCUGAUACCUUUUUUUUAUUGUUGUUAUUUUACUAACUAGGGAGAAACAAAAAAAGUAUUUGAAGUUACUGUGAUAUGAAGAUUAUUUCUAACUUCUGUGAGAUUUCCCUAUGAUUGAUCCCUAAGAAAAAAGUAAAUAUUUAGCUCCUGAAGAUGGAUUCCAUCUGCAGCUGUGCGAGGGCUUCUCUGGGGCGUGGUGAGUGGGUCUACGUUCUGUGAGGGUGUUCAGCCCUGCUCUGAGCAGCCGGGGUGGCAGGGGUGGGAGGAGCACAGUGUGUCGCCACCAGUAGCUUCUAGGUGCCAGAGAACCUAUUUAGGGUACAGGAACUGGGAUUUGAUCACUUGAUAGAACUGCUUAAAGAAGAAACAUUAUAAAAGAAGUAAAGUCACAGGAAAAACAAAAUUUUUCAUUAUCAGUAGGAAAUUUCAAAGUAUGUUGGAAAUGUAAGGGACUAGUUAUAAUAUUUAUUUCAUGGAGAAAGUCUAUCUCCUAUAAUUGUUAAGGAUGGUCACAACUUUUUUUUUUCAAUUUUAUAAAUGCUUUAUUUAGUAAGCAUUGUUUAUUUCAACUUUUAAAGUUCAUUAGUGAGUUUUUAAGCCUGUAAAUGAACAUCUUAGCUUAAGGUGUUCAAUAUAACCCAUUUAUUUUAGGGGUACUCUAGGAGAAAUUGGAAAUGAGCUUAUUAGGAAAUAGGAUUAGGAAGCUAGGAUUUCCCUUUUAAAUACAUAUUUAGAAAGAUAGAAAUUGAUUAUUUUCUAAAAACCAAUAUGAAAGCACUAUAAAAUAAUGUUCUAUACCAAGUAGUUUCAGGUCAUUAGUGAGAUUUUAUUUUAUAGUGUAUAUGGAUGUAUACACAUACAUAUAUAUAUAUAGAAUAGUAUAUAUAUGUGUGUAUACAUAGCACCUUAAUUGCUUUUAAAAAUGAUGUUGAAUCUUGCAGUUUUACAGACAUCCAUUUUACAGUGAUCAGAUCUCCCCAAAUGUAAGUUUUUCUCUGAUAUCAUACUCCAUUUAUCUUGACCAUGGAAUGAGAGUGGCUUGAAAUUGUUCUUAAUGUGAAAUUAAAAACAAAACAAACAAAACUAAAAAGACAUAACAUAUCACUUCUUAGACCAUCAGAUGGUUUGUUUUGGUAAAUUCGGGAAGAUGACGGGAAGGCCUCCAAGGAUAGGAGGCCCCUAACUGUUUAGGGGUCUCUCAUUGGGAGAUGUGGGAAGGGAGAAGGUUCUCUUCUGCACACCACAGUGGCAGCCCGAGUCCCAGUUAAAGAAGAGAAAUGCCACCGUCGUUGUUGGCGCAUUUGGGGAUGCGCUCACCAGUGAAGGUGAGAAUGUUAAGGUGCUUUGUAGAGACUGUGAACUCUGUCUGCGGGGACCUUCUGUGUGCCUCUGGCUUUGCUCUGGGACACCUGUGGGGCUCGUCCGUCCUCCUGACAAGUCUUCCUCCUGGGCCCCUUACCAGUUCCGCUUAAAUUGCAGCCUCCUCCCUGUUUAUUCUGCUCAAGUCUUUUCUUUUAUGCCAUAGCACUGCCCUCUGAAAUUCUAGACAAGUAAAUUGCGUGGUGUGUUUAUUGCUUACUGUCUAUUUUCUCC